AUUGAACGCUGGCGGCAGGCCUAACACAUGCAAGUCGAGCGGAGCGGCGGACGGGUGAGUAAUACCUAGGAAUCUGCCUGGUAGUGGGGGAUAACGUUCGGAAACGGACGCUAAUACCGCAUACUAUCAGAUGAGCCUAGGUCGGAUUAGCUAGUUGGUGGGGUAAUGGCUCACCAAGGCUACGAUCCGUAACUGGUCUGAGAGGAUGAUCAGUCACACUGGAACUGAGACACGGUCCAGACUCCUACGGGAGGCAGCAGUGGGGAAUAUUGGACAAUGGGCGAAAGCCUGAUCCAGCCAUGCCGCGUGUGUGAAGAAGGUCUUCGGAUUGUAAAGCACUUUUGUUAGGGAAGCGGUACCUAAGGAAUAAGCACCGGCUAACUACGUGCCAGCAGCCGCGGUAAUAC
This 407-nucleotide ribosomal RNA is filed under the name uncultured bacterium. RNAcentral's name for it is "partial 16S ribosomal RNA". It matches the Rfam family "Bacterial small subunit ribosomal RNA", at positions 30 to 526 of the family's 1533-position model. The record is from RNAcentral.